GAAUAUUGGACAAUGGGCGAAAGCCUGAUCCAGCCAUGCCGCGUGAGUGAUGAAGGCCUUAGGGUUGUAAAGCUCUUUCAGUGGGGAAGAUAAUGACGGUACCCACAGAAGAAGCUCCGGCUAACUUCGUGCCAGCAGCCGCGGUAAUACGAAGGGGGCUAGCGUUGUUCGGAUUUACUGGGCGUAAAGCGCGUGUAGGCGGGCCGGUAAGUUGGGGGUGAAAUCCCGAGGCUCAACCUCGGAACUGCCUCCAAAACUGUCGGCCUGGAGCAAGAUAGAGGCGAGUGGAAUUGCGAGUGUAGAGGUGAAAUUCGUAGAUAUUCGCAGGAACACCAGUGGCGAAGGCGACUCGCUGGAUCUUUGCUGACGCUGAGACGCGAAAGCGUGGGGAGCAAACAG
RNAcentral lists this ribosomal RNA (399 nucleotides) under uncultured bacterium. RNAcentral's name for it is "bacterial SSU rRNA". It matches the Rfam family "Bacterial small subunit ribosomal RNA", at positions 359 to 775 of the family's 1533-position model. The record is from RNAcentral.